Molecule: transfer RNA, 67 nt
Filed under: Stictochironomus akizukii
Lineage: Eukaryota; Metazoa; Arthropoda; Insecta; Diptera; Chironomidae
Description: tRNA-Leu
Source: RNAcentral
ACUAUUUUGGCAGAUAAGUGCAUUAAGUUUAGAAUUUAAGUAUAUAAAAAUUUUUUUAUAAAUAGUA